RNAcentral lists this ribosomal RNA (407 nucleotides) under uncultured bacterium. Its description in RNAcentral is "bacterial SSU rRNA". It matches the Rfam family "Bacterial small subunit ribosomal RNA", at positions 30 to 437 of the family's 1533-position model. The record is from RNAcentral.
AUUGAACGCUGGCGGCAUGCCUUACACAUGCAAGUCGAACGGCAGCACGGGAGGCAAUCCUGGUGGCGAGUGGCGAACGGGUGAGUAAUGUAUCGGAACGUACCUUUCAGUGGGGGAGUAACGUAGCGAAAGUUACGCUAAUACCGCAUAUUCUGUGAGCAGGAAAGCAGGGGAUCGCAAGACCUUGCGCUGAUUGAGCGGCCGAUAUCAGAUUAGCUAGUUGGUGAGGUAAAGGCUCACCAAGGCGACGAUCUGUAGCGGGUCUGAGAGGAUGAUCCGCCACACUGGAACUGAGACACGGUCCAGACUCCUACGGGAGGCAGCAGUGGGGAAUUUUGGACAAUGGGCGCAAGCCUGAUCCAGCCAUGCCGCGUGAGUGAAGAAGGCCUCGGUUGUAAGACUCUUUC